GCGUCUGAUUAGUUAGUUGGUGGGGUAACGGCCUACCAAGACGACGAUCAGUAGCCGGACUGAGAGGUCGAACGGCCACAUUGGGACUGAGAUACGGCCCAGACUCCUACGGGAGGCAGCAGUCGGGAAUAUUGCGCAAUGGAGGAAACUCUGACGCAGUGACGCCGCGUGCAGGAAGAAGGUUUUCGGAUUGUAAACUGCUUUAGACAGGGAAGAGAAAGGACAGUACCUGUAGAAUAAGCUCCGGCUAACUACGUGCCAGCAGCCGCGGUAAUACGUAGGGAGCGAGCGUUAUCCGGAUUUAUUGGGUGUAAAGGGUGCGUAGACGGGAAUACAAGUUAGUUGUGAAAUACCUCGGCUUAACUGAGGAACUGCAACUAAA
This 382-nucleotide ribosomal RNA is filed under the name uncultured bacterium. RNAcentral describes it as "bacterial SSU rRNA". It matches the Rfam family "Bacterial small subunit ribosomal RNA", at positions 233 to 631 of the family's 1533-position model. The record is from RNAcentral.